UACCAGCACCCCGAGUGGUCGGGACGAUUAUUGGGCCUAAAGCAUCCGUAGCCGGUUUUACAAGUCCUCCGUUAAAUCCAGCUGCUUAACAGAUGGGCUGCGGAGGAUACUAUAAGACUAGGAGGCAGGAGAGGCAAGCGGUACUCAGUGGGUAGGGGUAAAAUCCGUUGAUCCAUUGAAGACCACCAGUGGCGAAGGCGGCUUGCCAGAAUGCGCUCGACGGUGAGGGAUGAAAGCUGGGGGAGCAAACCGGG
This 254-nucleotide ribosomal RNA is filed under the name uncultured bacterium. RNAcentral's name for it is "partial 16S ribosomal RNA". It matches the Rfam family "Archaeal small subunit ribosomal RNA", at positions 474 to 728 of the family's 1478-position model. The record is from RNAcentral.